GAUGAACGCUGGCGGCAUGCCUAAUACAUGCAAGUCGAACGGGAUAUCUUCGGAUAUCCAGUGGCGAACGGGUGAGUAACACGUAGGUAACCUGCCCACUGUGCCCGGGACGUAACGCCUCGGAAACGGGUAGGCUAAAACCGGAAUAGGUAUCGCUUCUGCAUGGAAGAGAUAUUAAAGGAGCUGCAAGGCUCUGAACAUGGAUGGACCUGCGGUGCAUUAGCUGGUUGGUGAGGUAACGGCCCACCAAGGCGACGAUGCAUAGCCGGCCUGAGAGGGUGAACGGCCACAUUGGGACUGAGACACGGCCCAAACUCCUACGGGAGGCAGCAGUAGGGAAUUUUCGUCAAUGGGGGCGAACCCUC
Molecule: ribosomal RNA, 365 nt
Filed under: uncultured bacterium
Lineage: Bacteria
Description: bacterial SSU rRNA
Rfam family: Bacterial small subunit ribosomal RNA
Source: RNAcentral